GCUGAGGUCUAUCCCCAUGGGGCUUUUCCUGUAGACCCACAUCACUCAAAAUGCCUCCUAGAAUAACAAUGUGGUUUUGCUUUCCUCACAGAACUAUUUGUUAGAUCUGUGGGAAAGAACUACAAGGGGCGC
This is a small nucleolar RNA of Ailuropoda melanoleuca (giant panda), 132 nucleotides long. The record is from Ensembl. Lineage: Eukaryota; Metazoa; Chordata; Mammalia; Carnivora; Ursidae.